AGGUGGAUGUUAGUGCAAUUUA
This 22-nucleotide microRNA is filed under the name Schistosoma japonicum. RNAcentral describes it as "sja-miR-3479-5p". Lineage: Eukaryota; Metazoa; Platyhelminthes; Trematoda; Strigeidida; Schistosomatidae. The record is from miRBase by way of RNAcentral.